UACGUAGGUGGCAAGCGUUGUCCGGAUUUAUUGGGUUUAAAGGGUGCGUAGGUGGUCUAUUAAGUCAGUGCUGAAAUAUCCCGGCUUAACCGGGAGGGUGGCAUUGAUACUGAUGGACUUGAGUAAAGUUGAGGUGGGCGGAAUUGACGGUGUAGCGGUGAAAUGCUUAGAUAUCGUCAAGAACACCUAUUGCGAAGGCAGCUCACUAAGCUUUAACUGACACUGAGGCGCGAAAGUGUGGGGAUCAAACAGG
RNAcentral lists this ribosomal RNA (253 nucleotides) under uncultured bacterium. RNAcentral describes it as "partial 16S ribosomal RNA". It matches the Rfam family "Bacterial small subunit ribosomal RNA", at positions 524 to 776 of the family's 1533-position model. The record is from RNAcentral.